UGGGGAAUAUUGCACAAUGGGCGCAAGCCUGAUGCAGCCAUGCCGCGUGUGUGAAGAAGGCCUUCGGGUUGUAAAGCACUUUCAGUCGUGAGGAAGGUAGUGUAGUUAAUAGCUGCAUUAUUUGACGUUAGCGACAGAAGAAGCACCGGCUAACUCCGUGCCAGCAGCCGCGGUAAUACGGAGGGUGCGAGCGUUAAUCGGAAUUACUGGGCGUAAAGCGCAUGCAGGUGGUUUGUUAAGUCAGAUGUGAAAGCCCGGGGCUCAACCUCGGAAUUGCAUUUGAAACUGGCAGACUAGAGUACUGUAGAGGGGGGUAGAAUUUCAGGUGUAGCGGUGAAAUGCGUAGAGAUCUGAAGGAAUACCGGUGGCGAAGGCGG
RNAcentral lists this ribosomal RNA (377 nucleotides) under uncultured bacterium. RNAcentral describes it as "bacterial SSU rRNA". It matches the Rfam family "Bacterial small subunit ribosomal RNA", at positions 355 to 724 of the family's 1533-position model. The record is from RNAcentral.